UGGGCUGUAGCGAAGCAAAGUCGCUUGAAUGGCAUUCAAGAGUUCGUCAGUUCGAUCCUGAUCAGCUCCA
Molecule: transfer RNA, 70 nt
Filed under: bacterium TMED161
Lineage: Bacteria
Also listed under: 1 other name
Description: tRNA-Ala
Rfam family: tRNA
About the family: Transfer RNA (tRNA) molecules are approximately 80 nucleotides in length. Their secondary structure includes four short double-helical elements and three loops (D, anti-codon, and T loops).
Source: RNAcentral